CCUACGGGAGGCAGCAGUGGGGGAUAUUGCACAAUGGGGGGAACCCUGAUGCAGCGACGCCGCGUGGGUGAAGAAGCGCCUCGGCGCGUAAAGCCCUGUCAGCAGGGAAGAAAAUGACGGUACCUGAAGAAGAAGCCCCGGCUAACUACGUGCCAGCAGCCGCGGUAAUACGGAGGGGGCAAGCGUUAUCUGGAUUUACUGGGUGUAAGGGGGGCGCAGACGGCGAUGCAAGCCAGGAGUGAAAGCCCGGGGCCCAACCCCGGGAAUGCGCUGGGGACUGCGUGGCUGGAGUGCAGGAGGGGCAGGCGGAAUUCCGGGGGUAGCGGUGAAAUGCGUAGAUAUCAGGAGGAACACCGGUGGCGAAGGCGGCCUGCUGGACUGCAACUGACGUUGAGGCCCGAAAGCGUGGGGAGCAAACAGGAUUAGAUACCCCUGUAGUC
This 440-nucleotide ribosomal RNA is filed under the name uncultured bacterium. Its description in RNAcentral is "partial 16S ribosomal RNA". It matches the Rfam family "Bacterial small subunit ribosomal RNA", at positions 338 to 795 of the family's 1533-position model. The record is from RNAcentral.